GUCUGUUUAUGGGAAAUAUAUGCUUCCUCCCCUCCAGCGCAGCUCAGGAACCGUCAUUUAAGUAGUGCCUGUGUAUCCUGGGGCUUGAGAUGUGUGCACUCAUUUCGUCCUCCCAGGGCCUUGGAGGGACAGAUGGUGCCAGCACGCUGUUUGCUAAGGGGCCCAGGAGGGUCAGACAUCCAACCCAGACCCUGCUUCUUUCCCCAGAGCCAUAAAGGCACAGUGAGGAAUAGUGACCAGGGAGAGGCCAGGAACCCUUGAGGGCUACCUGGAGCUUUGACAACCCAGUCAGCGGGGAGGGGCACAGUAUGUGGAGAAAGCCAUCUUUCCUAAGCUGGUUAGGCCUAAAUAGCUUCAGGCCAAAAAAGGCUGUCAGACCUGCUCUGUCAGUGACCCCCAACAGCACACCCAACGCCCACACACCUGCCGAACCCAAAUCUCACCCUGAGGUGAGGAAAGGAGCUACAUGCACAGUCAGGCACUAAGCUGGCCUGGGAAGAGGCCCGGCCUGGCCCCAGCACCAGAUGGUGUCCUUGAGGAAAAGGGAGAGAGACCAUGGGCAGAGACCAUCCCGCAUGGAAGCCACUCCCAGCCCCCGAUGCCCCAACUGAAGAGGAAGGCAGGAGAGCCCCAGCCACACUGGAAUGCAAUGACUGAACCCACAGCUGCUCCCACACACAGAGGCGCGGCCCAGCCAGCAUUUGGGAGGGCCGCUGCUCAGCUAUGACCUGGCCCAUGCAGCAGGAGCCUGGGACACUCAGAGUGGAGGCCCUUGUGGCAGCUGAGCUCCCAUCCCUGUGUCACUCACUGACCCUGAACACCACGGAGGACACACAGGCUUCUGGGUCUGUGCUCACCCCUCAGGGGACAGCGCUCUGGGUACGCUAUCAGGGGCCUGGUGACACAGCCUACCUUUGUCGUGUCGUCCUUUCCUGGGAGUGUUGGAUGGCUAUUGCUCGAGGAAGCUGGUGCUGGUCGGCGUGACUCUGCUUGUUGCAGAUCGUGGUGCUGCUGUGCAGUGUUUAUUCUUUCUUAACAAAUAAUCCCUUUAUGAAAUUGAGCUAGAAGUCAAAAAAGGAAAAAAAGUGACGUCUCAGGGAAGCCAUGACAAAAAUAAUUAUC
Molecule: long non-coding RNA, 1122 nt
Filed under: Equus caballus (horse)
Lineage: Eukaryota; Metazoa; Chordata; Mammalia; Perissodactyla; Equidae
Description: lncRNA (ENSECAG00000053284.1)
Source: RNAcentral